GACGAACGCUGGCGGCGUGCUUAACACAUGCAAGUCGAGCGGUAAGGCCCCUUCGGGGGUACACGAGCGGCGCACGGGUGCGUAACACGUGAGCAAUCUGCCCAUCACAUCGGGAUAACUCCGGGAAACCGAAGCUAAUACCGAAUACGACCACCUCCGGCAUCGGAUGGUGGUGGAAAGUUCCGGCGGUGAUGGAUGAGCUCGCGGCCUAUCAGCUUGUUGGUGGGGUAACGGCCCACCAAGGCUUCGACGGGUAGCCGGCCUGAGAGGGUGACCGGCCACACUGGGACUGAGACACGGCCCAGACUCCUACGGGAGGCAGCAGUGGGGAAUAUUGGACAAUGGGCGAAAGCCUGAUCCAGCAACGCCGCGUGAGGGAUGACGGCCUUCGGGUUGUAAACCUCUUUCAGCAGGGACGAAGCGCAAGUGACGGUACCUGCAGAAGAAGCACCGGCCAACUACGUG
RNAcentral lists this ribosomal RNA (465 nucleotides) under uncultured bacterium. RNAcentral's name for it is "partial 16S ribosomal RNA". It matches the Rfam family "Bacterial small subunit ribosomal RNA", at positions 28 to 507 of the family's 1533-position model. The record is from RNAcentral.